Ipomoea triloba (trilobed morning glory) is the source of this 595-nucleotide long non-coding RNA. RefSeq lists it as uncharacterized. The transcript has 2 exons. The record is from RefSeq and is a predicted model, not a curated record. NCBI's taxonomy places the organism in Eukaryota, Viridiplantae, Streptophyta, Magnoliopsida, Solanales, Convolvulaceae.
AAAAGCAGGAGAAGCAGCAAAACGAAUAAAACUUCAUGCUCGAUUUUCUCUCUUUUCUAAUUUGACUUGCCCAGCCUGGCUUCCCAUAGUUGUAGGCAAGAGCACGGGAUCCUCGUGCUGGUUUUGCACAGUCGCCAUCUGAAGUUUGUUACCUGAUUUUGGCCGCUGCAGCUAAUGCACCAAAAAGGAGAGGAGUCUGGCAGUAUAAACAGACAUAUAUUAGGACCAUCAGUGUUACUGUGUUGUCUUUGCCCCUGGAAGAUCUUGGUCCCCAAACCAUACAAAAUUGGUGGUCCAAUUGUUUAUAUGCUACUCAGUUUAACAGUAUAUACACACAUCAAAGAAGAAUUAUAUUGCAAAUUAAGAGGAGAAAUGGUACCCUUCUUAAUUACAUAUUGACGAGCUAAUAUAAUACUCAAAAUAGUCAUUAACUAUGGUGGUUUUUCUCGAUUUAGUCUCAUUCGACUAUUGUGACAUAAUUGAGUCCCAGAGAUUUGUGACUUUGCUCGUUGUAGUAAUCCGUUUGCCUUCCCAUCCAUUUGAUGUUAAAUCUGUGAGAGUAAAUGUGUAAUUUUCAUAUUCCAUCUUUCUUUCA